This 253-nucleotide ribosomal RNA is filed under the name uncultured bacterium. RNAcentral describes it as "partial 16S ribosomal RNA". It matches the Rfam family "Bacterial small subunit ribosomal RNA", at positions 524 to 776 of the family's 1533-position model. The record is from RNAcentral.
UACGUAGGGUGCAAGCGUUAAUCGGAAUUACUGGGCGUAAAGCGUGCGCAGGCGGUUAUGCAAGACAGAUGUGAAAUCCCCGGGCUCAACCUGGGAACUGCAUUUGUGACUGCAUGGCUAGAGUGCGGCAGAGGGGGAUGGAAUUCCGCGUGUAGCAGUGAAAUGCGUAGAGAUGUGGAGGAACACCGAUGGCGAAGGCAGCCCCCUGGGUUAACACUGACGCUCAGGCACGAAAGCGUGGGGAGCAAACAGG